CAGACUUGUUAGAACAACCUUGUAACAAGUCGGAUAAUGCCAUCAAGCUUGUUACAAGUUGUUAACAGCUUGUUCCAAACUUGUUGCAACAACUGGGAACAAGCAGUGCGAACACAACUUGUCGACAGCUUGUGAACAUAUUUGUAACAACUUGUUUGCAGAACUGUAACAACUUGUGUGUUUUUACGUGUGUAGAUCUUUGCCUACAGAGCAUCUUUAAUGUUCCACAUUGCAAAAAUACAUUUCUUUUUUUACAGCACGACUCGUGUCCAAUUUGUCGGCUAGGUUUAAAUGGUAGGAGUAACAUUGAAAACGAGUCAAAUGAGCUUUAAAUUUGCACGAGACUAUAACCACGAAGCUCCAUCACGCGCGAGACAAAAGACUGCAAUUAUUCAGAGCUCUGAGCCAUAUAAUAAGACGCUGUAAAUAGUGUGGAAAAUACGUGUAAUUUUGUGUGUAGAAAAUGUUUUAAUAUUUUUUUUGUUAAGUGUAAUUAUAAACUAUGGUAAGAAUUGAUAAAUAUACCUGGUUAAGAUAUACUCGUGUAAAAACUCGACGUUGUUCAAGAGGUAUGGCAAUAAAAAUUUGGUAAGGCAAUAGAAAUUUUGAAAGAACUUUUAAAACUUUUACAGCUUCUUCAAAUGUUGUUUAGUUCUCGAAAUAUUUUGACAAAAAUCACCAUGAAUCAGUGAGCUGUUCGCCAUCUUGGAUUAUUGAGGAUAUGUAUGUUACCGGAUAUACACAAUAAUGAUUAGCCCAAAAUUAUAUUUCGGUCACUAUUUCAAAUUAGAAAUUGACUGACAACAUUUUAAACAUAUACUAUAUAUAGCCAAACCCUGCUUUUGACGUCACCAAAACCACCGUCAAUGAGAUCAAAACUAAUCCAAGAUGGCGGACAGCCAAUAUUUGUUCAGUCAAAAUAUUUCAAAAACUAAGAUACGAAAACUCGGUAAAGUAGUUUUAUAUACGAUUUUAAAAGUUCUAUCAGAUGAGACAAACGUAAUUUUUAUUGACAUCUCCCUUUAAAGUUAACAGUUUUUGGAAUAGAAUCCUUAAAGUUAUGGAAAGACAUUUCACACCAUUUCAAAAUGACUAGCAAGAUAUUUUUGCCAAAAACUAUCUUAGCUUGGUUUUUUGAGAUAUUUAAUGUUUGAUUUGCGAAUUAUCCUCAGUAUGACGUCAAAGUGCAAACUAAGCUUUCUGAAAAAAACCCUUUUAUAACUCUUACAGGUAAUCGAUUCAAAUUUCUCGACAUACAGUAUAUAUAUUUGUAGUAUGUUGACAUUGCGCGAUAUCCCAAGAUCUUGAAGUCUUCUCAGAAAAUCAUUAUGCAAUGUGACGUCAUAGUGAGAAUAAUUUGCUUAUCAAAAAUUGUUAAAUAUCUCAAGAACAGAACAAGUUAACUUUUUUAGCUAAGAUAGUUUGACAAAGAAUCUUAUUUGGUCGUAUGAAUUUUGUUUUAAAUGUAAUCAUAAAUGAUGUGAAAUUUCGUUACAUUGGAAGGAAUGCCAUAAGUAGUUUUCAACACUUAAAAUUAAAAAUGUUCUGCCUUAAGGAUACUAUUCCUAAAACAAAAUUGGUCGUGGCUGCCUCAACUAUGUCAAGGUGACCGAAUACGAUAUGUAACUGACAAAAUCAAGAUUGAUAUGUAUUCUCACAUUGCCAUACUUUGUGGUUACAGCCUCGACAAUAAUUACUCUAAAUUUAAAACUAUUUUAUAUGCAUUGUAAUUACCCGAAUGGCAUUAUUCUAUAAAGUUUCGAUUUAAAUGCGCCGAUAAGGCUUUAUGUGAUAUAGCCCACUGACAUGGAUAUAACUGGAACGCUACCUCCAACCGGAAAUUGAAGCCAAACGUGAAGGCCAGUCCCAGUCUUUUCAAGCAUGCGAAGAGCGUGGUCAAUCCCCGUCAACAUGAAUAUGCGUUCUUGAAAACCGGCUUAAGAUUUCCAAGAAAGUUUUUUAACAGCGCUCAAGCUUUCUAUUAAUGGUUUUAUUCUGGUAAAACUUUCUUGUAGAUUUUACUUGUUUCUAAUAAUUGUUUAUUGAAAGAGGAUUUUUCUGCGAUUUGGCUUCAAUAAAAUAGGCAAUAGUUUAUCUGAAGGUAGCAUUCCAGUUAUAAUAUAUUCAUUUCAAUGAUAUAGCCAUAAUGAACAAAGUCAAUGUUAUUUCUAUAAAUUUAUGAUAUUUGCAGUAACGGAGAAAAGUAGGUCGGAACCUACCAGACAGAACGGUAGGUUCCGAAGAUACCACAUAUGAACAAUUUGUUGUCAUAAUGAAUCAAUCGCAAAGCCCAGUCACAUAUGGGUUGGCCGACUCUGUUAUUGUGGGCGCAGUUCAGUUGCAUUGUGUUAUAUAGGGACCGGUCAUUAUUUAUGGUGGGGGGUGGCACCGAAGAAUUUUUUACUCAGCCUCAAAUAUCAAUUAAAAAAUAUAUACCCACCCCUGGCCAAAAACGGAUACUGUUCAGUUGACACACACGUCCCCUACCACUCUUGUGACACGAGUUUGAUAACUGCUUGUGCAAUCUACUUUCUUUGGAGACACCAUUUGCCUCCUGACAAAUCAGAAAAUGAUGAAGAUAGUGACUGAUUGAUGUUGACACACGACAAUUGACAUUGCUUUUUAGUUUUCAAUAUUUGAGUGCGUCGUGCUUUGGAAAUGACAAUAUACUUUUAUUACCCAACCCUUGAGAUGUUUUGUUUUUCAUUUAUCCAACCUUUUAUUCACUCAAAAUUUGUUUACCCAACCCUUUUCUCUUCGGUGCCACUCCCCGCCUUAAAUAAUGGCCGGGAUUUUGACGCUAUAAUAUUUUAGUAGUUUAGCUAAGCAUCUACACCGUAUGUUCACCGCAGUUCUGUAGGUUAUUCUUGAGCGGUACUGUACGAAGCUGCUUCCCCUUAUUAUACUUACCGAACACAAUCACAAUGAAGGGCGUCCCGAAAAAUGCAGUAACUGUGUUUCAGAUUAUUUAAUCCAAUUUAUAUGCACUACACAACUUUUGCCUAAAACUGUCGCAUGCAACCGGCUGUGUGCUUGAUUUACACAGUACAACUCAAGUUGUAAGUGGGUUGCAUGCGACAGUUUUAGGCAAAAGAUCAUAGUUGCAUUGGAUAUUCGAAAAGCGUUCUGGUAGUUGUGUUCUGUAAACGUAAUAUGGGAUAUAAAAUAGACACUCCCCGAAUUUGCGUGAGUGUUCGCGAAACAAUAGCUUGAAAUCGAGGCGGAUAAUAUAAUCCAUUGUAAAUAAGUAGUUUUCUCAUCGCUAGCCAGCAAAUUCGGUGAUUGUUUAUCAUUUUAUUAAGUUUAACCCAUUGAGUGGCAGCACUCUCCCAGCUUGACGAGUAAAUCGUCUGGCGUUAGAAUGAGUAAAAGUAUCUGCCACUUAAAGGGUUAAGUUUUAAAACAAGGCAGUGACAACUGUCAAAAAUAUAAAUUGCAAAUAAUUUGGUAUAGCGCGAACGCUGAAGUUAACCUUCCUAUUUGUAGUUUGUAAACGAAUAACAAUAAUUAUUCAAGCAGAAAAAAUUACUGUACAUGUGUGUGUAUUUUUUAUUUCGAAUCAAACUAAAUUGUUCGAAAAUUAAAAUACUAUUGUAGUUUUACUAUGGCCUAUGGGGGAUGACUUCAAGCAUGUGAUAUUUUUUUCUGAGAAUUUUUCUCGAAUUAUUUUUCUAGUCGAUGAUUCUUGUAAUUAGAACUUUCAACUCAUUCGAGACCCCACCAAAACCCCAAUCACGUUUUCUUUAACUAAAAAUGUCAAUUUCCAUUUAAUAAAUUUCAACAUUCUGUCAUUCUCUACUAUUCCCUAACAAAACAAGUAAGAUUAAAAGUGUUAUUAUUUACAAGACACAUUUACAAGACUUCAUUUAAGCACAGCACCAUCCAGUGCUAGUUUUCAAGUCAGUGAGACAUAUAGACAGACCUGGGAAAAAGUGAGAUCUUGAGAAACUGCUUUAGCAAGAAAACUGGGGUUUUCAAUUUUCCACAUGCGUUGUGGGAGAAUGUUAAGCAAUCAUAUCAUACUUCAUCUAUCAUUUGAGAUUGUGAAAUGUUGUUCAAUGUUCAAAUUUGGCGUAAAUAUAUACGAAUUUUCCAUUGUUUUUACGCGCACUUGAUGAACACUUGAAAAAGGGGAACAUUACUAAACACUUUUUCCAGAUCUGCAAUCAGUGAACUAUGUCGCAGACAGCGAGUAUGAAUCGGAUUAGCCUUGGUUUGGGAUCUUAAAAACGGUUGAUAACCAAAUUCGCAUCCGAUGGUCAUGACUACAAAAAGUACCUGACUUUUGGAAAUGUUUAAGAUUGAGAGAAAAAAUGGACAGUCCAAUACCUGUCGGAGUAAAUCAGAAAAUUAACUUAAAUAUUUUGUAGCCCUGCCGAUUAUAAUCCGAGGGUUACUAUUCUAAUGUUACCAAUAGACAACUUGCACGUUAGACUAAUUUUUGACCUAGGCAAAAAAAAAGUAAAUCGUUAGACUAAUUUUUGACCUAGGCAAAAAAGAA
Molecule: non-coding RNA, 4501 nt
Organism: Paramuricea clavata
Lineage: Eukaryota; Metazoa; Cnidaria; Anthozoa; Malacalcyonacea; Plexauridae
Source: the annotation of a GenBank genome assembly